GCUUGUACAGCAGGUGGAGAGGAGUCACUUAACAUCGCGGUGGCCACAGGGGGCACCAGGGAGUUCUGCUUGGCUACAGCUUUCUGUUAGAAACUUCCCAAAGUACUAUUUCCUUGCCCUGAACUGACACACCAGCAUUCCUGCGUUUCUUUCUGGAAACAACUUUCGCCUCAUGUAUGCCGUUAAAGCAACGAGCAUCUAACUCACACCCAGCAAAAGCCACUGUUUUGCUCUGGGUUCCCUUUGGCUGUGCAGCUGCUCCUUGCCCCAAGGCUGUUAUUUAUUAUUGCUGUAACAAAGACUGUGAGAACAGCUGAUGCACACAUCACGCCAUUAGAGCGAAGCCAGAAGGGUGUGCUUUACAAACCAACUCCACGUUGAUGGUUGGUGCCUUUUUGCCUUUUGGAGAACUGGAGCCAGCAUGAAAAGUCCAGUUGAGGAAAAACUGUUAUCUUUACCAAAGCCUGCUUGUGCCUUAUGAACAGUCCUGAGGAAACAGCUAUUGCAGAGCAGGAGACAUGCUGCGUGAGCCAGCCCCAACUGUUCAUCGUUUAUGGUCUCCUGAGCAAACCGUUACUUAUUGGCUGUUGACCCUGUGACCAAGAGAAGCGUUGACAAGGCUCCAAAGGAAUUCCCUCUGCAGAAAUGAGUUCAGAAGUAGAAAAGGUCAGUGUCCUAACAUUGGAAGACUACCUUGGAUUUUACCUGUUAUAUCGCCAAAAUAACUGACUUGACCUGAUUUUACAAGCCAGAUUUGUGUGUCUGCAACAUACUUUAGGUGACUUUCUAGGUGUGUUUUGUUCAGUUUCAAGGACAGAAUGAGAGCGGCAGACUAUGAAGUGAUUAGAGACAUGGCUUCCCAGGAACCCUCGAAUGGACCAAUGUGCAGAAAAAACAGAAGCCCGAUGGGGUCACUGGAGGAUAAGAAUGAACCGAGUGGUGAAAACGUUGAAAGGAUUUGAAAUUCACCUUCACUCACCAGAAAUCUCUCAAGCAGAUACUAUCCAAUUUAAAGGAAGAAAGUCUGAGACCCAGAAAUCAGGGGCAUCAGUGAAAACUUCCCAGAACAUAGCUUACCAGCAUUGGUAGGAAUUGCAAAGUCCUGUACUAACCAGCUUGCCAAAAUCCCAGAUAAAUCCACAGAGAACUUAAGAACAUCAUACUUCAUUAGGUAGGCACAAUACUUUGUUAAUUCUUUUUUUUUUUUUUUUAAAAAAAAAAAGGUUUGUCUGUUCGUAAGCUGU
Anas platyrhynchos (mallard) is the source of this 1244-nucleotide non-coding RNA. NCBI's taxonomy places the organism in Eukaryota, Metazoa, Chordata, Aves, Anseriformes, Anatidae. The record is from RefSeq and is a predicted model, not a curated record.